UGGAGGUCUUCCUGAUCAUGCAGCUGAUCAUCUGCAUCCUCUUUGUGAUGGAUGAGUGGAGGAAGGAUGCAUGGGUUCCGCUCCCAUGGCCAUUGGCUUCGGUCACCGUGGCAAACCCCAUGAUGAUGUUCCACAAUGGAGCUGAAAUCAACCCUGACCGAUCCUUUACCCCUGCUCUGUUCCAAGAUGAAUUUCAUGAACAGCUAGAUGCACUGGGUGGAUCCCAUGAUCUGUGGCGCUAUGGGCACCGUCAUGUACGACUUCAUGCUCUUCCCUGCAUGUGCGGCCUGGCCGUGAGGGUAGCCCCUUUUAAAGGCAGCCGGCCUCUGGAGCAGGACCCUUGUGGGGAGCUCAAGACCCAGGCCCUAUACUGUAAGGCUGCCACCAAGCCAGGAGAAGUAGGGGCCUUAUUAUAGUAGCCCCCUGCAUCCAACAACCCAGGUCUUCUCCUCCCAGCAAUCCAGCUCUCCUCCCAGCAAUCCAGCUCUCCUCCUCACCAAAGCAAAGUCUAGUUCUAGCUGUGACGUCACCCUCACAGGCACCGAUUGGUCAGAGGGAGGAGUCGUGUGUGGGAGUUGUGUAUCACAAGAUUUAAAUCCCUGUACAGUAGUGCGGACAUCACAUUUCUAUACAGAAGAAGACCUGCACGGGACAAGAUCAACAACGACACGAGAAAAUGGAAGUGAGAAGAAAUCCAGUUGCCCCAUGGACCGAUGCUGAGGUGUAUGUAUUCCUGAGCUUCUUAAAAGAAGAAAGGGUUCAGAAAGCUUUGGACAGAGCUGUUAGGAAUGGAAAGGUGUUUGCGGAGCCAGUCCAGCACCUAGCAACACACGGCUCCACCAGAACAGUACACCAGGUCAGAGAGAAGUUGAAGAAGCUGAAAUUCGACUAUCGCGGGACAAAGGACCACAACAACUCCAGUGGCUCCGACAGACGGCAGUGGAGGUGGUACGAGGAGAUGGACGCCAGAGGCUAUACGGGAGCCGGCCACUGAGCCAGAGGCCGGAUGAGAACAUGGACCCGAGCUUGUCAUUGCUUAGGACAAAUAACGAUUCCGAAGAUGUACUUGCCUCGUCUGCGACUGGCAACAUACUAGAGGAGUCUGUCUUGGCUCCAGCUCAGACAUCUUCAGCUCGGUCAUCCACACAAAUCCUUGUCAUCCACGCCGUCUGGAUCUUCUGGAGCUGCGCAAAAUGGGAGAGGAAAACGGAGGAGGUUGGAAGCAACAUUAUGGCUGAGUACAACGAGUAGCACAGGCACUUCAUGCUGCAAAGCCUGGAGGAAGCAGAGCGUGACAGACAGGCGGAGAAGAGACACCAUACGCAGAUGUUGGCACACAAGAAAAAGCUGCACGAUGACAAGACGUAAUUCAAGCUCGCAACAGUGGUCAACGAGACCGUUCCAAAGGCAUUGUCUGGGAUGUCCAUAUAAGAUGUGGAUGUGCUCAUGUGAAGAUUCCAAAGCAAACCAAAAGUCCUGGCGACCCACAAGGUACCAAACUGUAUCGAUAUGUACGACAGCUCAACAUCCUCCUCCCAGUAGAGGAACAAGUUAUCAGAAACCAGCUCUCCUGAUGGAUGCGAUCUUCCCAUGUCGCGCCAUGCCAAGAUCGAGUGGGAGGUGUUGCAGUGAUCCAUGCCUGGGCACGGGCUUGCUUUGAUUGACAGCCUCCAUCGUUUCUGGCUGUGCUGGGCAUAGUCACCGCGGCGGAGGUCUCCCUGACCAUGCGGUUGGUCAUCUGCAUCUGAGGGGAGGAGGAACGGAUGCAUGGGUUCCGCUCCCAUGGCCAUUGGCUUCUGUCACCAUGGCACAAUUCAUGAGUUUGUGAUAUGAGAAUGUUCUACACUGGAGCUGAAAUGAACCCUUCCAGAUCCUUCACCCUGCUAUGUUCAAGAGGAACUUCAUGAAUCACUGGAUGUUCUUGGCAGGUCCCAUAAUCUGUGGUGCUCUGGGCGUCGUCAUGUACAACUUCAAGCUCUUCCCCAGCAUUUGUAGCCUGGCCGAGAGGGUAGCCACCCUGAAAGGCAGCCGACCUCUGGAGCAGGACAUCUGCGGGGACCCCAUCAAGCUCAAGACCGAGGCCCUAUACCGUAAGCCUGCCACCAAGCCAGGGGACGCAGGGGCCAGCCAGAAUUGUUAUGGUAGCCCCCUACCAGCCACCCAGCUCUCCUCCUCCCAGCAACUCAGCCCUCCUACGACCUACGAACAAACCGACUAACACAAUCAAGACAGCCCUUGCACAUCAGUGCUACGGGGGUCACAGAGCCACUAACAUUCAGACUAACAGCACUGACAUAGACAAGGGCAUAAAUACACACAGUGUCACAAUCUACACUCAUUACAGGGCUGACCUAGAACAGUCAACUUGGACAUACAUGUUUUUUCAUUACAUUUGAUUACCGGUCUGAUCUCAAAAGUUUUGUUUUUUAUUUCAUUUCUUCUGUUUUCUACAAUACAAGGUGUGUGUGUGUCUGUCUGUCUGUGUGUCUGUCUGUGUGUCUGAAUGUUCACUGCAGCUUUUUAUUUUGGGUUUAUAUCAUUGCAAAGCGUGUUUGUGUUAAAGAGAGUGUGUGGGCCAGUGCAAAUUGUUUGUGUGUGUUUGUGUGUGUCUGUGUGUGUGUCUGUGUGUGUGUCUGAAUGUUCACUGCAGCUUUUUAUUUUGGGUUUAUAUCAUUGCAAAACGUGUUUGUGUUAAAGAGAGUGUGUGGGCCAGUGCAAAUGGUUUGUGUGUGUUUGUGUAUAGAAUGUGUGUGGUCCAUGUGUGUACUGCUGGUGGUGGAGUUCUAGACUUGGACUGAGCAUUGUUCUGUACUGCAAUUGGGUGUUGUGCCUUCUGCUGACUUCGGGUGAGUACUGCAUUGAGUGUUUUCUUCUGCAUUUCAGUGACGGUCUCUUGCUUGUUUAGCAACGUCUUUUAUUGACUUCCUUGGCCACUGAAGGAACUGUGCACCGCUCUGCCACUUGGAGCUUUCAGUUAGGUCUUCAGGACUGGCCUAAUGUUGUCUUCCAUAUUCACUGCACCUGGAAUUCCAUCCAUCACCAAUCUCAGUCAGUGCUGCUCCGGAUCCUUAACUUUCACGCUUUAUUGCACCUGACAUGUUCUGGCUGUCUACAAGGAGGUGAUGCCACUUCUUGAUCUUUAUUCUGCAUUGCUUGUGGAAGUAGUUCUUCAUCCGUGCUGCAAGCAGUGCUAUGCACAUCUUCGCCCUUGACACGUUCACCGUUGUGGUCAAGAGUGUUCAGCUUGGCCUUGGCCUCAACCAUUCUCACAACGACACCAUGGCUGCAGCUCCACAGCAGGUAGAGUAGAGUAGGGUAGAGUAGAGUAGAGUAGAAGCUUGGCUUACACCUCUCUUCUGGUGUUUGUUCUUUCACUCGGUCUCCCAGCGAGUUCUGGCCGAGGCAUAUUUCCUCCUUCUUGGAGAAAUAGAUCUCCGCUGAUGUCUGAGAUUGGUGGUGAACUCUGGGUAUUGUGGACAUGGCGGACGUAGUCACCCGGGGGGCUGGUCCUGAUGUCCUGGCUGGGCGUUUUGAGUGGCGGUUGGGUCCACGGUUCCUUCUGCUUCCUUGGGGUGGGUGGCCAACAGGGUCAGUGGAAUGCCUUACUGUGCAGGCGUGAGGCAGUCUCGCUGGAGUGCAGAGGAAGGCGUUCAGUGCAGUGCUCACCCAUGAUCAGCUGGGGGCACUGCACCCGGUUGUGGUCUGGGACGGUACAUGGUCUGGAUCAUGGGCUCCACCGCCAGCAGUAGCAGUGGUGUGUUUGAGAGAGUGUGUGGGUUUGUGUGUGUGUGUGUGUGUAUAGCACAGGUGUGUUUGUCUGUGCGUGUGUGUGACACUUUUUUUUUUUUUUACUGCAGCUAAAGCUUAAUGCAUGUGUUGUCAUGCAGAUGAUAAUUUUUCUGAUUUGCAUUACAUUUGUCCCCCCCCAGCUGUAUUUGCUAUGAUAUGAAAUUGACUGACUGUGUGGGUUGUGUUUUUUCUUUUUUUGUGGUACAGAAGACUGAAAAUUUUUCAGAGGCGUAUGGGCUUAAGUCUGAAUCUCUCAGCUAGUCCAUACACCACAGACUGGCAUACCCUAUUUAUUUAAAAAUGUAAAAUGAUGAAAAUUUUAAAAUUGCAUACAUUUGAAGGGAAAAGAAAAAGCACAAUUUCUGGACACAGAAGACUUAAACUUGUUUUUUUCUUUUUUGCCUGAAAUAGUUGAACCAUAUCAGCAAAUGUAAGCGUUCUAGCAAUCAAAACUUGGCAUAGCAGAACACACGCGCACGGGCUUAGUAGGUCAAUAUUUGUGUAAUUAAAAAGAUCCAAUAACUGCAUAUUCUAUGGUCUGACUGCACUACCUGGAGGUUAAAAAUGUAGUGACGCUCAGUGGCCAAUUGUAUACACUGCAUAUUAGAUCACAUAAAGUGUCAAAUCUCUUUCAGUACAUCUCUUCCCUGGUUUAAUUGGCACGUCCCACUCCAGUCAUUUAUGUAAUGCAUGGCAACGGGUAAAAUGCAUUUGCUAAAUCUAGUGAUUGUUUUGUUAGAAACAGGCCAAGGCGUUUUGCCCCACUACACUGGU
This is a long non-coding RNA of Engraulis encrasicolus (European anchovy), 4563 nucleotides long. RefSeq lists it as uncharacterized. The transcript has 9 exons. The record is from RefSeq and is a predicted model, not a curated record. NCBI's taxonomy places the organism in Eukaryota, Metazoa, Chordata, Actinopteri, Clupeiformes, Engraulidae.